This 71-nucleotide transfer RNA is filed under the name Stegodyphus mimosarum. It matches the Rfam family "tRNA". From Rfam's summary of the family: Transfer RNA (tRNA) molecules are approximately 80 nucleotides in length. Their secondary structure includes four short double-helical elements and three loops (D, anti-codon, and T loops). Lineage: Eukaryota; Metazoa; Arthropoda; Arachnida; Araneae; Eresidae. The record is from Rfam by way of RNAcentral.
GCCUUCGUGGUGUAACGGUAGCACACUCGACGCGUAAUCGAGAGGCCCAAGUUCGAGUCCCGGUUAGGACA